AAUUCGAUUAACGCGAAGAACCUUACCCGGGCUUGAACUGCCAGCGAACGAUACAGAGAUGUUGAGGCCCUUCGGGCGCUGGUGGAGGUGCUGCAUGGUUGUCGUCAGCUCGUGCCGUGAGGUGUCGGCUUAAGUGCCAUAACGAGCGCAACCCUUUUCAUCAGUUGCCAUCAGGUGAUGCUGGGCACUCUGGUGAUACUGCCACCGUAAGGUGUGAGGAAGGUGGGGAUGACGUCAAAUCAGCACGGCCCUUACGUCCGGGGCUACACACGUGUUACAAUGGGGCAUACAGAGCGACGCAAGACCGCAAGGUGGAGCAAAUCGCAGAGAGUAUGCCUCAGUUCGGAUUGGGGUCUGCAACCCGACCCCAUGAAGUCGGAUUUGCUAGUAACGGCGUAUCAGCUACGACGCCGUGAAUGCGUUCCCGGGUCUUGUACACACCG
This 443-nucleotide ribosomal RNA is filed under the name uncultured rumen bacterium. RNAcentral's name for it is "bacterial SSU rRNA". It matches the Rfam family "Bacterial small subunit ribosomal RNA", at positions 948 to 1392 of the family's 1533-position model. The record is from RNAcentral.